This 256-nucleotide ribosomal RNA is filed under the name Diversispora epigaea. The record is from RNAcentral. Lineage: Eukaryota; Fungi; Glomeromycota; Glomeromycetes; Diversisporales; Diversisporaceae.
CAGUCGCGUUUGCCGGGACUCAGCCUUGCUUCUGCUUGGUGCAUUUCCUAGUCUACGGGCCAGCAUGAAUCUUGAGCGGUGGAAAAGGGUUUGGGGAAUGUGGCACCUCCGGGUGUGUUAUAGCCCCUUGCUGUAUACACUGGUUGGGAUUGAGGUUUCAGUGCACGCUUCGGUUGUGCUUUGAUGCUGGCGUAAUGGCUUUAAGCGACCCGUCUUGAAACACGGACCAAGGAGUCUAACAUAUGUGCGAGUGUUU